GAUGAACGCUGGCGGCGUGCUUAACACAUGCAAGUCGAGCGAACGGACGAUACGCUUGCUUCUCUGAUGUUAGCGGCGGACGGGUGAGUAACACGUGUAUAACCCACCUAUAUGACUGGUAUAACUUCGGGAAUCGGUAGCUUAUCCCGUAUAAUCUUUUGAACCGUAUGGGUCAAAGGUGAGAGACGGUGUUGCUGGCUCUUCUCGCUGGUUCUGCGCUGCUUUGGCUAGUUGUUAAGGUAACGGCUUACCAAGGCGACGAUGCAUAGCCGAGCUGAGAGGGGGAUCGGCCACACUGGAACGGAGACGCGGUCCAGGCUCCUACGGGAGGCAGCAGUAGGGAAUCGUACGCAAUGGGCGAGAGCCUGGCGGAGCAAGGCCGCGUGAGUGAUGACGGUGUUCGGAUCGUAAAACUCUGUUAUGAGGGAAGAACAUAUGUGUAAGUUACUGUGCACAUCUUGACGGUACCUAGUCAGAAAGCCACGGCUAACUACGUG
Molecule: ribosomal RNA, 497 nt
Filed under: uncultured bacterium
Lineage: Bacteria
Description: partial 16S ribosomal RNA
Rfam family: Bacterial small subunit ribosomal RNA
Source: RNAcentral